Long non-coding RNA from Talpa occidentalis (Iberian mole), 909 nucleotides. RefSeq lists it as uncharacterized. The transcript is spliced from 3 exons. NCBI's taxonomy places the organism in Eukaryota, Metazoa, Chordata, Mammalia, Eulipotyphla, Talpidae. The record is from RefSeq and is a predicted model, not a curated record.
GCUUGGUGCCCUGCUUGGAGUCUCACCUGGCUGCCGACUUGAUGGCAAUACUGUGUCCUCGGGUGGUGGCUUGACUAGGGUAAGGUUUGCAACCUGCUUCCUCAAGUUGUUGGCAGAAUUCAUGGCCUUGCCUUUGUGACAGGGGGAACCUGAUUCCUUACUCACUGUUCGGGCCAGCGGGGGCCACGCUCAGCUCCAGGAGGCUGUCCUCAGGGCCAAGUCACAUGGCCCUUCACACCUGGCCUCUUUCAAGGUCUCACCUGAUGAAGUCAGAGCCGUCCAGAGUAAUCUCUUUUAUUAACUCAGAGUCCACUGGUUAGGGUCCCUAAUUGCAUUUGUGAAAGUCCUUCCCCUUCGUCAUAGAAGUUAACGAACUGGGGAGACGUGUGAAAUUCACAUUCACCGGUAGGCCUCUACAUUCCUGUUCGAUGUAGCCGGUGGAACAGGCCCUCGGUGACUGGGAGCUUCGAGGCAGGGCCUUUGUACGGCCAGUGCUGCCGCUUCCUUCCUCGUGGUGGGCAUCAGCAGCAGCAUCACCCCCUCAAUGGAGAUGCCCUGAAGUCAUUGGGGAUACCUGAGCAUGAGCUAUAUACGAGUGAAGUGGAAAACCAAUGGAGCCAGGGAGGAAAAGCCAAGCCGGUGCCCCUGAACCUGCAGAAUGUGGAGACCCCGAACCGGCGGCCCUCGGCGGCCACGGCCCUCGGCUUGUCCUCCCCACACUGGCAGCCGGGCCGGCAACCGGGCCGCUCUCCCUGGGACCGAAUGCUGAUCAGUGCCCGGGAGUGACAAAAUCGUACUGGAGACUGAGAGAUGACCAGCUUUAACGCUCCCCCCUGCGCACAGAGAGAACACCCCCAAACUCAGUUCUCACGCCUGGGAAAUGUGGUCAACAGUUACAAAAUAGACAUA